Molecule: long non-coding RNA, 6378 nt
Filed under: Brassica rapa (field mustard)
Lineage: Eukaryota; Viridiplantae; Streptophyta; Magnoliopsida; Brassicales; Brassicaceae
Description: long non-coding RNA (BRAP_LNC001198)
Source: RNAcentral
GUGGCCCUAUUUAAAAUUAUAAUGGUACAUAUUUUAUUAAUAUUUUGAAAUUUUGAAUAAAAAAUAUAAUAUAUAUAAAUCAUCACUAAAAAAUUGAUUUUAUUUAAUAUUUGUAAAUUUGGUAGUUUGGGUAAGCUAAAAUUUUGGUUUUAUAAUUUUCCAAGCAUGAACCUUUUUUCAGAAGAAAAUGUUGACUUUACUUGGUUUUACGGUGUAUUAAGUAUAAUCUAGUAAUAUACUGGUGGAUUUUUUUAUUGGAAAAUUUGGUUUCAAAAACUAAAAAUUUCCAUAUAGGUUGAAACCCAUGUCUAUAAUGAGACAAAAAAACAAAAAAAAAUGGAGUAAAAGAAGAGAACAAAAAUAAUUUGGUUAAAUAACUUUAAAGUUGAGGAGACAAUUGUAUAAUUGAGAAAAAGAAAAUAAACCAAAACAAAAAGUGUGAAACCAUCUCCUUAACAAUAUAAUCGAACACAUCAGUAACUAGAAAAUUAAGUCACUUGAGCUAUACAUAUUUUAGAUACGUAGCCCAAAUUUUGUUUCAUUAAUUGGUGGCCUAAAUCAGCUACUUUACCGGCCUUAUGGAAGGAACGGGUCUGACUUGUUCACUUUUAGAUAUUUCUUUUUUUCUUUCAAUUUCGGUUAUAUUGGAAGCUACACAAAUUCCAGUGAUAAGAAAGAAUGAUGACCGUCUGAAUGUUUGGUCUUCUCAAGAUUAAAGGUGUUGGGCCUUUUUUUUUUUGAAGCAGGUUGUAUUCAAAUUGUAAAAAGAAAAAACCUCCAAAAAGAUAACACACACCUCACAGAAGAGGAUUGGAAGGAAAGAAAGAAAGAAACAACAGAGAGUAGAGACAUAAGAUAAAACAGUAAAGAGGGAAAGACACAAUAGGUGCUUAAAAGGCGAUAGUUCGCACACCCAUAGAGAUCACAGAACCGACUGUUAGGGGCUAUAGAUCAUGGAGCAGGGCCUCUCUUCGAAUGGUAUGAUCUAACCAAGCAGGGCCUCCUUGAGCCACAUAAGGUGUUGGGCCUUUGGCAUCUGAAUUCUAGUGACGGUAAUUACGAGUUUAGUCCAAAAUAAAAAUGCAAUAUCAGGUUAUAAGAUACAUAUAAAUAUUACUCCAUAUAUUUUAAUUCCUCAAAUUAGUCUCAUGAUAUAUUUGAACAUUAUACUUUACUUUUGGAAAGAUGUGUACUAUUUCUUUUUGACAAAAAAAGAUGUGUACUAUUACACAUGCUAUCUGGAUUAACUAUGUAAUAAUGGAUAACUUCAUAUCCAUGUCAGUAUAUUCCUUAUCUAAAAUACUCCAAACAUUUCGAUUUUUGUUUGGAGCUAACCGACAUGUAAAAUCUCUGUUAACGGAAUGAUAUUGUUGGUUAUUACAAGUUUAACUAGGAGUUUUACCCCACAUGCGAGCAUAGUUAUUUAACAAAUACUUAUUAAUAAAUAUAUUAUUAGUUUAAAGAUCAAAAAAAUUAAAUAAAACAUUAAAUUUAUACUAUUUUAUGAAUAUUUUAAUUUCUUAAUUUCCUAAUCUUUAUUGAUUUAACAACAUUAUUUUUGGGUAACAACACUAAUAUCUUGUAAAUAUGUUGUUAUCUUGAACAAAUUUUUAUUAUAUUAAUUUAUAAACAAUGAUAUAAUUAAAUAAACAAAUAUAUAAUUGUUAAUAUAAAGUGAUGUUAUUAAACCAAAUUCUAGGAAUUAGCAUAACCUACAAAAUCUCAAAAUAAAUCAAAAUCACAAGAAUGUUAAACCAAACUUAGCUUUACAUAUUAUAUUAGUCAAAGUAAAUAAGAAUAUUGAUAUAUGUAUAAUUAUAUUGUGAAAUACUUCCUAUAAUAAUUGAAUAAACACUCAAGCAGACCAACUAUGUUGACAAACAAAACAUUAAUAUGUAAUGUAUAUUUGAGAAAAUUUUAAUUUAAACAAAGUUAUAAUUCUUUAAAACUCUUGAAAAAUUAAAAUUAAAUAAAGUAAAUUUUCAAUUUUCAUAAAUAUAAGGUACUUGUUGUAACAAAAAAAAUAUUUUGAAAAUAUUCUUUGUUGAAAGUUAUUCUUGAAAUUAGAUGAUAACAAUAAAUAUUUAGUAAAAAUAAAAACAAAGAAAUAUUAAAUUUUCAACUUAAAUAACAAAUACAAGUUAUUAUUGCAACUGAAUGAUAAGAACAAAAAUAAAAAUAUCAUGAAAAUCACGUUAACAAACAAAUAUACAUCAAAUUUAUUGUUAUUGUUUAUAUACUUCUUUUUAGUAUUUUAAUACUAAAAUAAAUUUAAUAAUUUUAAAAAAUAUGCCAUGACAUAUUAUGUUUAAAAAAAUAUAUAAAUCAAUUUUUCUUAUUUUGUAUAAAAUUAUUUAUAAUAUUUUCAUAUAAUGAUAAAUCUAAUUAUGAUAUGUGUAUAUAUAAUACUAAUUAUAAAAAUAAAUAAAUAAGAAUUAAAGAUGUAGAUAAACACAAAAUAAAUACAUGGAAUUAUCAUCUUUUUUUUUUCAAAAAUGUUUUCCAUUUAUUUUUGAGAUAUUUUUAUAAUAUUAGUUUGUAAUCAGUUAAAUAAUGAAUUAUAUAGUUUAUUUAUUAGAUAUUAAAACUUUAAUUAGUCAAAUUAAAAUUAAAAUUGUUUAAUGACUAAUCCUAAAAUCGUGGAGAAUAUGACAAAUAAGCAAAUUCACUUCUCAAAUAAUAGUAUAGAUCAAUAUCCGGUUAUACUACUCUGUAUAUUUUAAUUACUCAAUUUCACAUUAUGAUGUACAUACUUAGCAUUUGUGUUUUUCUUUUUUAUGGAUAUAUUUAGUGACUAUCACAUGUGGUAUGUAGAUUAACUCUGUAAUAUACGAUAAUUAAAAUUUACAAAAACUACAUCUAUUACAAAUAUAAAGUACAAACACAUUAACAACACUUUUUCAUUCAAGUUUCUGGACUCCAAUCAGAUUUCGUCACUUGCGAAAAACUGUCAGCUAACAUUUCAUUUUUGAUAUUUUUGAAGUUAGCUGUGUGUAAUACCUAUAAAAAACAACACGUGCCACUCAUUUAAAAUAUCUUUCCACUCUCAUCUACACAUUAACAUGAUUUUUAUUCUGGCAGAAUACUGAUAAUUACUAUUUGUUAAUAGAUUUGACAAAUGGCAAGAGGGAUAUAAACUUCAUUCCAUCAACACUCUCUAGGUUUUCAAAUACAAAAAAUUUAUGUUUAUCUACCUAUUUGCCGACCAUGUUUUGUAUAUACAUCAAAACUAUGUCUUUUGUCUGCGAACGCGGACAUAAUCAGAAAUACUUAUUAAUUUAUGUCUUAUUAAUUUAAAAAUCAGCAUAAUAAGUUUUUACUUGUGUUUUUAAAUUUUUUAAAUAAAACAUUAAAUUAUUUAUAAAUGACAAUUAUUUCAUCAAAAUAUAUAAUCUAUAAGAACAUGGUCCUAUUAUUUAUCUAUUGUUAAUAAGUCAUACUACGACCAUCUAAAAAAUUACUUAAUAUGACAUAUUUUAUUAUUUACAUUAAUAAUAAAACAAAUAUAAAUAUAAAUUUAUUUUUAAGUAUAGCAAAUUCUGUUGAGAAACAUUCUAACAAUCUUAGUGAUUUCUGCUGAUGUGUUGCUCAUAGCAGAACUUUCCAAAUAAUUGUUAUAAUUUGAUUGGUUGAUGGUUUUUAAUUAAUUAUUUAUUUAAUUAAAGUUUUUAAAAAGAAACUAGCUCUAGAAUUACCUAAUCUAAUAUAUGUAUCCAAACAUAAAAUUAAGCAUCUUAAAUAUAGAUGAAUUAAUAUAAUUUAUUUAAAUAAACACUUAAAUAUCAUAUAUUACAUUAUAUAAAAUAAUCAUAUACAUUUAAAUACAUAUGAUACUACGGAAAAAAUUAUAAAAACAGUUCUUAAUAUAUUUAUAUUAGUAGUGAAUAUAAUAAAUCAUAGAUUCUAGAAAACUAAUUAAUGUAAACCUAAUAAUAUUAAUUAAACUCACUCAUUCACUAUAUAUAUUCUAAAAUGAUUCAAAUAAAUGCAAAACAGUCAAAUAUAUAAUUUUAAAUUUUUUUGUCAUUUUCUAAUGACAAUGUGAUAUCAUAGAUAAGUUAUCACUUUUAGAAAUGAUUUAAAUAUUUUUAUAUUUUAUAUGGUAAGUCAUUUAAAAUUACAUUAAUCAUGAAAUGUUAUUUAAUUCAUCUAUUAAUAUAAACAAAUGAAUUAAAAUUAUUAUAUGGUAAGUCACUUAAAAUUAUAUUAUAUGGUAAUUCAUUUAAAAUUAUUAUAUAGUAGGUCAUUUAAAUUAAAUUAAUCAAAGAAUUUUUCACAUGCUUUUCACAAAUUUUAACAAAUUUUAUACAAAUUUAAUUAAUACUAUUGGAUCUCACAUUAAUAUUAAGUAUAUAUGUAUAAAAUAACAACAUUUCGUUAUUUAAAAAUUUGAAAAUUAUUUUUUUCUUAUUAAUUAAUCAGAUUUAAUUAAAUGGGUAUGUUUCAAAAGAAGAAAUGGUUUGUUUAACCCAUUUAAGUUUUAUGCUAAACACUAAAUAAAAAAUGAGUGAGAAAGUGUGAUAUGUGAUUUGACAAAAUUAUGAGAGAAAUUACUUAGGCUACCAUUUUCCUAAUACAUGUUUUCAUGUUUACAUUAACCAAAUAUCCUUGGUUUUAAAGAGAUAAAUCAUUUUAUAUAUUAAUUGAAAAGUCACUUAAAUAUAUUUUUCUUAUGUAUUGUUAAUAGGUUGAAUUUAAAAAAAUAGUUAUAAUUUGAUUGGUUGUUGACGUUUAUUGGUUAUUUAUUUUAAUCAAAUCUAAAAAAUAAAAGGUAACUAUAGAACUAAUUAAUAUAAAUUACCAAAUAACACUUGUAAUAUUACAAAUAAUGAUUUAUGGUAACUAAUUGUAGAAUUGGAGAAAUAAUAUAUAUGUUUUAUCAAUUUCCUUUUCUUUAUCAAUUAUUUAUAUAUAAUUAAAUAAAAUACUUUAAUUUUUUUUAAUAUUAAAAAAUUAAUGGUUAUAUAUUGUUAUAUAAAAUAAUUAGAUUUGCAGGUAAAAAAUUAUUUGAACUUUUUAUUUUCUAAAAACCACACAAAAACAUUUACAAAAUAUUUUCAUAAUAAAAGCAUCUGAUCAUUGUAUUGAUUCUACACAACAAACUCUCUUUUGAUUUCUUGAAAGCUAGAGUAUUCUCAAUUUUUCACCUGUUAAAAUAAGAUAUAAAGUAAUUCUACAACCAAUUAUCUGAAUUAAUUAUAAUAUUAUUUUUCUGUAAGUGAAAUAUUUGUAAUGAUUAAGAUUUACGUUGUUGAUCUAUUUUAAAUAUUGCUUUUGAGUUUUGACUAAGGUCUAAUGAAAAUUUUGAUUAUCCAACUAUUUAAAAUUAAAAAUUAAAAUUUUACUUAUUAUUCAAAAAUUAUAACAAUAUAAACAUAAUAUAUAUUUCAUCAUAUAAUAUAAUUACCCGCAAAUUUACGGACAAACAUCUAGUAUUUAAUUACAAAUUUAUAUAUCUAAUUAUUUAAGUAAAAAUCUAUAUUAUUAAAAGAGAAGUACCAAUAUAAAUUACCCCUUAGUUUUUCAUUUUAUUUACACUCCAAUGCCACUGAAGUAAUAAAUGAUCCUUUCUUUUAGUAAUAUUGUCUUUUACAAAUAAUAAAUGUAUUUCCUAUUUCUAAUUUUACCAACAAAAACGGGAAACAAUGACUUGAACGUAAUCUGUCUUUAUUAUUUAAACUACAGUGUAAAAAAAUCUUAGGAAAAUGAAAUCGUUCAAUAGUUCUUAACUAUAGUCUGCAGCCUUCUUCUUCAUCUAUAGGUGAUGAACAUGGAGGAUAACUUUAGUUUAAAAAAAAUUAAAAUUCAUGACUUCAAAUCGUCAUUGCUAUGAUACAUAUAUUAAUAAUUAUUCUUCCGGAAGUUAAUGUUCAGUCACGUUCUCAUAGUCAUAGAUAUAUUACUGUAACCUAUAACAAAGAUAUAUACAUAUUUAUUUCUUUAUGUAAAAUUCAAAUCAUCUAUACAAUCGAUUUUCUAAUCUUUCUAAACUAGCAAAUCAAUAAAUUCAGAAUCAAAACAGAAUAUCUUUUAAUUUAUUAGUCUAUCCAAACUUAUAAUUAAUUUCAAAUCUUUAUUAUAUCUAUAAAAUAUAGAAACUAUAGCCUAAAUUUUUGGUAGCUAUUAUAUUUACGUAAAUAAUAAUAUAUAUACUUAUCUUUUAUAUAGACCUGUGAAGUUGCUCUUCAUAGAAGAAUGAAACACUCGAUCUUUGUAUUUGAAGUAUAUUAUUCCCGAAAACAAAUACAAGAUUGUAAGAAUAGUAACAAAACAAACAGUUGAACAAUAUAUUACCUUCUGCACAAAUUUUUUGGUCUUCUUCUGUCAAAACUUCACCUAAAGCAGGGUGGCUCAAGAACUGCAAAUCUCUCAACUCUA